AUAUAUAUAUAGUCCGGCUAUUAUACUUUUAUGAGUAUUGACUCCCUUAUACUCAUAAGUUUUCGGCCCUUAGAUUUAUUGUAUUAAUCAUUUCUACCCGUUAGAUCAUACUAUUCAACCAACUACCCACUCAACCCUAGGGACCACUAUCAUUCUAAGUGGGAACCACCAUCAUCCUAACCACACAUCCCAUCAAUCAACGGUUAAAAAUUUAUGAGUAUAAGGGGGUCUAUACUCAUAAGAGUAUAGUAGCCCCAACCUAUAUAGAGUCCGGCUACUAUACUUUUACGAGUAUUGAGCUUCCAAUCGACGAUCCACUCCGUUAAAUAUGAUUUAGAGUAUUUGAAACUUCCAGAAAAUAAAUUCGUAAUUUUUCGAAAUCAUAAUAAAAUUCAUCAAGCGGAUAUAAAAUAAACGGUCAAAAUCGAAUGACGUUUUAAAAAUGGAUGAUCGAAUCCUUCAAUUUAAGAUCGGAGUUAUUGAUCUUUAUCUAUGUAGUGAAUAAAAUUUUCUAUCAAAAAAUCAACUAAUUUCGAUUCUUUUCCACCGUUAAAUUAGCAAAUAUUCCAUACCGGCCGUUAAAAAUUGUCAAUUUUGUGGCAUUUUGAUUGUAAGGUAAAUGAUAUUGAAAAAUUAUAAAAUUUGAUUUCUAGACGUUUUAAAUACUCUAGAUAACGUUUAACGGUGUGGAUCGUCGAUUCAAAAGCUCUAUCAUUAAAAACGGCUUAUGAAUACGAAAACGAUCGUACUCAUAAGAAUAUAGUAGCCGAACUCUCUCUCUCUAUAUAUAAAAUAAAGUUAUGAU
This 805-nucleotide long non-coding RNA is filed under the name Ananas comosus (pineapple). RNAcentral's name for it is "long non-coding RNA (ACOM_LNC024910)". The record is from RNAcentral. Lineage: Eukaryota; Viridiplantae; Streptophyta; Magnoliopsida; Poales; Bromeliaceae.